UGAGUAUGAAAUCCAAGGAUGAUGAAUGCUACAAAUUUCAAAUUUAAGCGUGUCAAUGAAAUGCAAAUUCGUAAUUAAUUGUUACAGUUGACAAUCUUUUUAUCGAAGCCAUUUCCCAUAUCUUCUCAUCGUUCUGGAAAAAUCUAGAGAUGUCAUCUCACCUAAAGAAUUCCCCUAGAAAACUUAUCCUUACAAGCUUCUUAAAGAAAUCUCAUCAUCAGGCUCAUCGAUCGCCUACAAAAAACAUAUAUUACCAGCAAGAUGUAAAUUCUUAACUAUUCAUUACAAUCGACAACCUUUUAUUGAAAGUGUUUCUGAAAUCCUCCUAUCAUUCUGGUAAAAUUUGGGUACACUUUCUCACCUAAAGAGUUUCUCAAGAAACUUAUCUAUCAAGUUUCUCAAGAAAGUCCCAUCAUCGAGAUUGACAAUUGUAAACAAAAUAUGUGUCACAUGGUAGGAUGCAAAUUUCAAAUUAUUAAAUACGUAUUAGAGUCUUUUGUUGAAAACAUCUCCCGUAUCAUUCUGGUAAAAUUCGGGUACACUUUCUCACCUAGAGAGUUUCUUAAGAAACUUAUCCUUUCAAGUUUCUCAAGAAAGUCCCCAUCAUCAAGAUUGACAAUUGUAAACAAAAUAUGUGUCACAUGGUAGGAUGAAAAUUUCAAAUUAUUGAAUACCUAUUAGAGUCUUUUGUUGAAAACGUCUCCCGAAUCUUCCCAUCUUCCUAGUAAAAUCUGAGAUCGAAUUCUCACCUAGAGAAUUACUCAAGAAAGUUUAUCCUUACAAACUUCAUGGGAAGGCCUCAUCAUUGAAACCUUAAUUCAUCAUUAUUCAUCAUAAUUCCUCAAAUAAACAUUAAGAUCAGCAACCAAUAUUCUCCUAGAAAAUUCGGCCAAUAAUGGUAAUGGAGGAAAAUGAAUUAUUUUCUUGUUGUUUUGUUCCUAAAUAUGCUAAACUAACUAAAAACACUAACAUAACUUAAAAUCAAAUUAAUCUAACAACUUUCUCUCUCCUAACCUAUUUUGAUCAGCCAUCAAUUCAUCAUGAAAACAUGUAAUUUAAGCAUGGAAAAUAAGGAGAAAUGAUUAAGGAAAAUAGAUUUCAAGCUUAAGUUGAAAAAUCCUACCUUUUUCAUUUGUUUUCCUUGAUUUUCCACACUUUUUCUCUUGAAAUUCCUCACCUAGGGUUUGUUCUUCCUCUCUUUCUCUCU
RNAcentral lists this long non-coding RNA (1207 nucleotides) under Theobroma cacao (cacao). RNAcentral's name for it is "long non-coding RNA (TCAC_LNC004387)". Lineage: Eukaryota; Viridiplantae; Streptophyta; Magnoliopsida; Malvales; Malvaceae. The record is from RNAcentral.